AUUGAACGCUGGCGGCAUGCUUUACACAUGCAAGUCGAACGGUAACAGGCCCUCGGGUGCUGACGAGUGGCGAACGGGUGAGUAAUGCAUCGGAACGUACCCAGAGGUGGGGGAUAACGCAGCGAAAGCUGUGCUAAUACCGCAUGUGAUCUGAGGAUGAAAGCGGGGGACCGAGCAGCAAUGUUUGGCCUCGCGCCUUUGGAGCGGCCGAUGUCGGAUUAGCUAGUUGGUGGGGUAAAGGCCUACCAAGGCGACGAUCCGUAGCUGGUCUGAGAGGACGACCAGCCACACUGGGACUGAGACACGGCCCAGACUCCUACGGGAGGCAGCAGUGGGGAAUUUUGGACAAUGGGCGCAAGCCUGAUCCAGCAAUGCCGCGUGCGGGAAGAAGGCCUUCGGGUUGUAAACCGCUUUUGGCAGGAACGAAACGGUGUCCGCUAAUACCGGGCGCUAAUGACGGUACCUGCAGAAUAAGCACCGGCUAACUACGUG
Molecule: ribosomal RNA, 492 nt
Filed under: uncultured bacterium
Lineage: Bacteria
Description: partial 16S ribosomal RNA
Rfam family: Bacterial small subunit ribosomal RNA
Source: RNAcentral